RNAcentral lists this ribosomal RNA (116 nucleotides) under uncultured bacterium. RNAcentral describes it as "partial 16S ribosomal RNA". It matches the Rfam family "Bacterial small subunit ribosomal RNA", at positions 1367 to 1482 of the family's 1533-position model. The record is from RNAcentral.
UACGUUCCCGGGUCUUGUACACACCGCCCGUCACACCACGAAAGUUUGUAACACCCAAAGUCGGUGGGGUAACCGUAAGGAGCCAGCCGCCUAAGGUGGGACAGAUGAUUGGGGUG